CUCAUUUUUUCCCUCAAUAUUUCUAACCCUACCUCCCCGCGCUCAGGAAAAAAACUAAAAGACCCUCGAGACAAAAAUGCAGAAUGAAAACCGUCAGGCCACAAUAAAAGAACGGCCAGCACUCCUUUCGUUACCUCGAUUAUGCUUUCUCUGCUUGCCUCCUAGUGAAUUGUUCUUAGGGUUCUGUUGUCCUUCUUAGCAAGCUUCAGUUAAUGGGAAUUGUAGUUCGUUUCCAAUGAUCCAUGGAUGAAGGAGAUUGGCUCUUGAUGUGCUUCAUUUUUGGAAAGAAGUACUCAUAUUCCUAACUGGACAUAUUCUUUCUAGUUGCAAAUAGGUCCUUCAACGUAUGUUACUCCACCUGAAAUAUAACUCCAUUACAUUAUGGAUGAAUAGUUUGUUAUCCAGAGAUAUAAAAUAUAUCUGUAGUGUGACAGAGCACCUAUCUAUGUCUACAUUUUUUCCCAUUGGUUUCUUCUAAUUAGUUGGAUGUUGCUGGAGCAAGAGAAUAGGUUUCUACCUGAAGACAGAGCACCUAUCUAUGUCUAUACUUUUUUCUCUCUGCUUUGAUAUCCUUCACUUCAAAUAGGGUGAGGAUGGGCAUCUGCCAGGAGUUUGUACUCCCAACCAGUAAGUCUACAUCUGUCUUGAUGCGUACAUAAUAUCAAUUGUUAAAUGUUUGUGGUAUUUGCUGUUGUUUUACCUGCUAUGUUAAUGCUACCCGGUUGUGAGUUACCUACUUACAUUAAUAUGUGAACUAUCUUUAUAUGUGUGGAGGUGGCGGGUUGAUAGGUAGUUGUGUGUUUCUCCUCAGACCACACGUAUGAGAUUAAGUUGGUUUUGUUGUUGUUGUUGUUGGAGUGGUGAGCUUAUACCUUCAAGACAGACACCACACAAAUUGUUCUUCUUCCUCAAUUUAAAGGCACGCUCCUAGAGUUACUGAUUAGAUCUGAACAAGUAGAUAUUGAACAUAAGGUGAAAUACUCUUUAGUAAAUUAGUGUACAGGGCAAACUGUGGUGGGUUGAAGAGGUAAAACACAUGUACAAAAACAAAAGCAACAAUGCACGGUUAACCAUGUAGCUACAUGUUCCUAGUGUACAAAAAUAUAUGUAUCCCCCUACUAAUUAAAGACAAAGAAAUAGAAGAAAAAACCUUAUACAACAAGAUAUUAGAAAAAACUAAGCAAAGAUGGGCAGUUUCUUACACUUUUUAUGAGCAGGAGAUUCAUUUUUGUGAGAAAAGACAUCACCUAAUUUUAUCAAAAGGGACAACAAUAGUUAGGAAAUCACAGCAAAAUAACUUUUGUUUAAUACUUGCUGAUUUUGAUAAUGUAUCUUACUUAUUUGAGUAUUUUGAAGAGCAGAUGGAAAUAUUAGACAAUGCUCUAUAAAGGAAAGAAAGUGAAAGUACCAGCAUAUCAUAGGAGUUAGGACUAUUCUCAGAUUCAUCUAUUACAAGUACUUCAAAUAUUCUUAUUUUCCCUUUUAAUCUUCUAAUCUAGAAAUAGAUUUGGAGCAUUGACUGAUUGAGAGAUUUGGGUUCUUUGUCUUUUUUUUAAAAAAUUUAUAACACUUUUGAUUGCUAAUUAAUUGCAUGGGUUUAGUUUAAUCUUCUAUUAAUUUAGUGAACCAACUACUGCUUAAUGUAUUUUCUAGUAUUUUUGUGACUCUUUGCUAAUUUAAAUUGUACAAAUAUAGUUCCUAGAUCUGAUAGUAUAUGCUAGACAUUGGUUUUGUAAUUUUGGUGCUUGAAUCUACUAGUGGAGUUCCUACAUCUGAUAGAUUGCUAUGGAGCUCCUCAAUAUUGGAAUUUCUCGGCCCAUCUCAAGAUCAAGAAUUUGAAGUCAUGAAGAAUCAUCUUUGAGAUAGUGUAAAGCGAGUUGAAUUUGAAAGAAGAAGUUGAAGUACAAGAAGAACCUACUUUAUUUUUCUAGCGGUUGUUUACAUAUGUUUCCAUUUGUACAUGCAACAAUUCCAUUUUUGUUUUCUCUAAGUGAAAAAAUAAUAAUAUCAUACAAUUUGGAUAUGUAUACAUUCGGUAAUGUGACUCUUUAGUUCUUUGUAAUUAAAGAGUGAUGUUUUAUAUGAGCAUUGACUAUUUUGUA
This is a long non-coding RNA of Nicotiana attenuata, 2102 nucleotides long. RefSeq lists it as uncharacterized. Lineage: Eukaryota; Viridiplantae; Streptophyta; Magnoliopsida; Solanales; Solanaceae. The transcript is spliced from 3 exons. The record is from RefSeq and is a predicted model, not a curated record.